This 138-nucleotide unclassified non-coding RNA is filed under the name soil metagenome. Its description in RNAcentral is "partial internal transcribed spacer 1". The record is from RNAcentral.
CCUAGAGUUGUAGGCUUUGCCUGCUAUCUCUUACCCAUGUCUUUUGAGUACCUUACGUUUCCUCGGCGGGUCCGCCCGCCGAUUGGACAAUUUAAACCACUUGCAGUUGCAAUCAGCGUCUGAAAAACUUAAUAGUUA